CGCUGUUGCAGAUUAUAUCCAAACAAGUUUAAAUAAUUAAUUGUAAGGCAAUUUUAUUUCUGCAGGGACUAUCACAUUGAGGAUACCUGUGCCUGCUCCUACGAAGGAGCCCAUAACACCCACUCAGGGGAUAGCUGUACCUGCUCCUACAAAAGGAGACAACUAUGAUUAUUGGACCAUCAAAAUGAAGACCCAAGAGCUUUGGGAAUUAGUGGAAGUGGGAUAUAUAGAACCUGGAAUGCAUGGACAUCAACAAAAAAAAUCAGCUAAAAGAAAACAAAGCUCUUUACACCAUUCAAUCUGCAUUGGAUGCUUCAAUUUUUUUUCGAAUUGUCAAUAUGAGAAAAUCAAAGGAUGCAUGAGAAACUCUAAAAAUUGCGUAUCAAGGUACAAACACAAUCAAAUUGGUAAGAGAUUUCAAAUUUUUUGAAGAGAAUAUGAAAAUUUGAGGAUGAAGGAAUCGAAGUCCAUUCAUGAAUUUAUUGCUAAGAUUUAAGGAAUUGUUAAUCAACUUAGGACUCAAGGAGAAAUUGUAAUAGAACAAAAAAUUGUAGAUUUUUUUUGAAAUCUCUUUUAAGUUCACUGAAGAAAGUAAAGAUCUAACUACUUUCAAAGUUGUAGAGUUGAUUGGUUCUUUGCAAUCUAAUGAUGAACAUUUGCAGCUUUCUAU
This is a long non-coding RNA of Cryptomeria japonica (Japanese cedar), 670 nucleotides long. RefSeq lists it as uncharacterized. Lineage: Eukaryota; Viridiplantae; Streptophyta; Pinopsida; Cupressales; Cupressaceae. The transcript is spliced from 3 exons. The record is from RefSeq and is a predicted model, not a curated record.